Non-coding RNA from Microcebus murinus (gray mouse lemur), 374 nucleotides. The record is from RefSeq and is a predicted model, not a curated record. NCBI's taxonomy places the organism in Eukaryota, Metazoa, Chordata, Mammalia, Primates, Cheirogaleidae.
UCCGGCCCUGGCACGUGACAGGGGCGCCGCUUUGAGGCUGCGCGCCAUCUUGGUUCGGCCUCGAGAGUCCGACGAAGAGGCGGAGUGCCAGGGUUUUACCCGGCCUCGAUAUAGUCACCAUUUGGCACAGCAGGGGUGAGAAUGGAAGCUAAAUAUGUAUUGCUGUUGACCCUUGAACAACAGAGGUUUGAACUCUGCAUAUCCACUUAUAUGCAGAUUUUCUUCCUCUUACACCACUCCUGAGACAGCAAGACCAACCCUUUCUCUCUUCCUGAUCCUCCUCAGCCUACUGAACAUGAAGAUAACAAGGAUGAAGACCUUUAUGAUGAUCUACUUUCAGUUAACGAACAGUAAACAUGUUUUCUCUUCCUUAA